UGCAGGCUGCACCGCCACAAAUACCAACAUGGAGCUGCACUUCGCUUUACACUUUUCACAGCUGCAAGCCAGAGGCUAGUGGAUGUCCAGAUAGGAGACGACAUUACAGAGCAGCAGCAACUGGUGGACACAGAGCCAGAGAUAAGUGAGUGUCUAAAAGAUUCAGAACAGCUGCGGUUUAAAAUUUGCUAUUGAUUUUUUAAAUUAUUUUAAUUGUAGUACAGUAGUAAUAAUCUUUAAGUGACUUCUCAUUGCUGUUUUUAGUAAUAAAAGCGAAGAUAGAGCUGAAUACAUCUGGAGUCAGAGCUCUGGAAUAAUCAGAACAGCUGAACAUGCAGGAUGAUCAGGGUUAGCAUUGAUGCUAAGCAGCAACACGACAGAAGAGACUUCAGGCAUGUCUGAGAAACUUCACACUGAUCUGGACAGAAAUCAAGACCUGAGCUUUUUAUUAAUUAUUAUCAUUUCUCUUUUAACAGUUUUGCUAAAAUAAUCUUUGGUACGAUGUGUGGCACCACAGGAAACGCUCUCAGUCACAUCUACUUGAGACGCAUCAACACCUGUCUGACUGCAUGGACUGACCUCACCAUGUGAGAACAGUCAGUCAGUCAGUCAGUCAGUCAGUGAUGCAAAACCAUGUUAAAAUUCUGGACUGGAGGCUCUGUGACAGUUAAACACUGGACAAUUAUAGGAAACAGUUUUUAUAAAAAAAAAUUUUUUAACCUCUGCAGAUAAAAUAUGUUAUUUAGUUUUUAACAGCAGUUUUAUAUUUAAUAAUGUAGAAACUGCCCAGGUCAGCUGAUCCCAGAGCAAACAAGUGACUCACUUCUAGAACCUCACAGAGAAACAGAAAACUGGGAGGGAGAAACUUUACAGAGAAAAUGUUUUAUUCUCUUUGCUAAAGCUGAGAGUUUCUAUGAGAAUCAUUUUUAUUGAAAUCUGACCAGACCUGGUGAAAGUGAAGGUCUCUAAUGCAGAACAAAGAAACUGGAAAAACGACUUUAACACGAUGAAAUAAAAACUCUACAGGCAGCAUAGAGAUUUAAAAACUGUGACACGGCGAAGGAGACCCUGAAAGUCUGAAAAUGAUAGAAGCAAACAGAGGAAAGAAAAAGGUCUGAAUAUUUCCUAAAGCAGAAAACUGGAAGCAGGUGAGACAGUUCAUGAGUCUCUGUGGUUCAUAAGCUGUUAGAAAAACCUGAAACAAACUGAGGAUGUUUCCAUAGAAUAACGAACACUAAACAGAUUAACACACAAUAUAAUAAAAUAUAUUUUCCUUAAUAAAGUCCUUAAAAAGCUCUGGUGCAUUCAAAGAAAAACAGUUAAACAGCAAACCUCAUGUGACCUCUGACCCCUGAUGUUCAUGGAGGUUAGGAACCACAAACCAGACAAGAAUUUAUUAAACUGCCUCUAAAAAUCCUUAUAACUGCUUAUUUUAACAGGUUAAACACCAAACAGGCUUUAUGACGCUCAGUGGAAACGUCUGCUGGGGAUUCAGCCAAUCAGUGCCAAGCAAAAUUAGCAUAGUUAGCAUUGAGCUGCAUUAGCAUUGAGCUUCAUUAGCGUAGUUAGCAUUGAGAGGGAAUCCAGUGUGAGUCAGUGACAGCAGAUGGAUUUUGCUGUCGACUGAAUGUUUCUGUAAAUCCUCAGUGGAACAACUGAACUGUUUAAACGUGUGGCAGUAAUGACCAUGUUGGAGAGAAGGUCAGAGGUCAAAGAUUCGAUGCGCUGAAGUGGCAGCUGAUGGAAACGGAGCUGAAGAGGUUGUGACAUCAGACUCAUUAAAACUUAAGAUAUUAUUAUGUUAAACACACACGGAGUGUGUGGCAGGCCUCGGUGCUGCCUGCCGGAUGAAUUAUGCAGACUGCAGUGGAUCCGUGUCUUAAAGAGCCACACACUCACAGAAACACUCCGGCUCUCGCUCUGACUCUCCAGACAGCCGCUGCGUGAAGCAGAGCUGCGCUGGAAGCAUCUUAAUUCCUUCUUCUCACUAUCAAACAUGAAGACCUGAGUUUAUUUGACUAAGAGAAAACAACAUCCAGCAAAUUAAUCUCAGUGCCCAACACUUGUUUUCCUGCUCCUAAAAUCCUUCAAUACUUAAUAAGUUGAGCCUCCAGCUGUGAAGGAGGAACUAUUAAUCCCACAAUGCAUUGCAUUUACCUCUUUCAGUUUAGCACCUCUAGUCAACGUUCAGCUCAGCAACCAAUCAGAGAGUCUCACCUGGCAGGUGUGACUCUGAACACAGCUCCAGUAAUUCUAACAAUAACUGGUUAUCUUCAUCUUCUGACACAUUUCAGACUUUUUUAUCUUCAUAAGAACGUUAAGAAGAGAUUCUGCUGAUAUUAAAACUAAUUAAGGCAGCAUACAAAAUGUGUUUACAAUUCUUUAAUAGGAUUAAUUAUUCACAUUUAUGUUUGAUGUAUUUUAAGUCUUUUCAAUUAACUGAAUGUUUUAUUUAUAAGAUUAAUAAUUUGCUUUAUUAAAAAGUGUCAGUGAAUGCCUCCAUGUUUUUAUUAUCAGGAACAAAAAGGCAACAAUAUGUUUAUGAAUGUUAUGAAGUUGUAUUUGGGAGUUUAUUGACCCUUAAAAUGUGGAUUAUAUUUUUACAUUUCUGAAUGAUCAUUUUGGCUCUUCAUGUUUAUUUGUGGUUGAAUGUUUGAUGAGAAUCAGAGACGUUGGUUUCCUCUUCCUGUCCUACACAUCCCACCAGAACCAGAACCAGAACCAGACCUCUGGUGUAAAUCUCCCUCUGUCUCUCGCUGCCUUUCAUGCGGCUCUGAGGGAGAGGCUUAGGCUUAGAGACUCAAACGGCUAAGUGAGGGAUAAUACUACCAUUAAAGAGAGAGACGGAGACGCAGACAGAAGGAGGGAGAGAAGGAGGGAUGGAGCAGAGAGGGAAUCAAAAGCCGUCGUUCAUAAAAGACUUAAAGAAGUUGAAAGAGCAGAAAAAAUAAUUCCUCUUACUGAGGUUUUAGCUAAAGUCUGCUGAUAUCUGCAUCACUGGUGAGGGUUGGAUUUAAACUCCAGUGAGUUUAAUAUUAUUUAUGCAUCACAACAGAAAACAGAAAGAAUAAAGAGGACAGGAAUGGAGGGAUGACGGAGAGAAACGGAGGAGCAGAUCUACAGAUCCAGUCUUCAUUCAUCCAACCUGCAGAUUCUUUGAUUCAGAAAAUGUUUCUAAGUUUGCAGACGACCUCUGCUUUUUGAAACAUAAACGUUUCAGAUCAGCAGAAAUAUUUAAAUGUCUUUAAUUCAAUAGAUUCAAAUGUGGAUUCUUUAACUUGACAGAGGAGGAAUCUAUUCUGGAGCCAGUUUAAGGUCAGGUCAAACUUCCUCAACUUUAUCUCCCAACCAAACUUUGACUAGGACACUCCUGAAACACUUAAAAGCUCCUUGCACCAAUCUGAUGGUUGAAUAAUCUGGAUAACAGAUUACAAACAAUAAAUAUCUUUACUGUUGAGAUCCUGCAGCCUGAACCGCCUCACUGAAUUAUUCAUUCAAAAGUUUAGCAGCAAAAAGAGUUUUAGGAUUGAAAAUGUUUGUUAUUUUAUUAAUAUAUAGUUUCAUUAAAAUACAAAUAAUUAAUUACACACCCUGCAAAAACCUUGACUAAAGAUUCACUAAUAUUAAAGAAAAUAAUCGACAUGAAUAAAUUUAUUGCUUUUGUUUGUUGUAGAUUUCACCACUAAAAUGCAAAAAAACAAAAAACAAUCCCACGACUCAAAAUAAAGUAAGUGUGUGAAUAAAUAAAGUAGAUUCUUAAGGAAUUAAAACGUUGCUGUUUGGUUCCUCAGGACUGAUUCCCCGCUGACGGAGGGCAGAGGGAGGAACCAUCAGCAGUCUGGCUGAGCACUGACUGCUGCAUCUGAGCAUGCGUUCCUGGAAGUUGAAGGUCAGUGAAAGGAGAAGCAAACAGCAUCACUUCUGUCAAUCAGGAGAGGCGCAUUCCAGACAGGAAGGAGGGGGAGCUGGGAGGAAGUCACAAAAUAAGGUGAAAAAGAGAGAGAGGAAUGAGAACAGACGAUAAAUAAUUGAUCCGCCGCUGAGCAGAGCUUUUAAAGAGCGACACCGUCACACCGCAGCACUCGACACAACGUAACCUAGAUAGAUCUGUUUGAACAAAUGUUUGCUUUGCUGCUUAUUCCUUCUGCCAGGUUCAUUAGAAAGCGAUCCAACAUGGCCGAAAGCCUCUGGGAGCCGAGAGGAGGAGUUGUUCUUUUCCAUUUCUUCUGGCUUUUUAUGCACAGAAUGACCUUAACAAGCUAAACACACCGACAUUAAAACAUUUGGAUGAUGGCUGAUGGAGGGAAUCAUUUGUCGAUUCAUAAGCCACAUUGUUCACAGCAUAUUUACGUGGUUAAGUUCAGUGUGAAUGAAUAGUACCUCAGUGAUUAAAGGUGUAAAGUGUUAAUUAUUAUCACACCUUCAUCCAGUGGAUUCGUUUAUCCUCAGGUUAAAUGUAGAAACCAGGAGAAGCAGCAGAUCGCUGGGCUUCAGUCAAACACUCUGCAUGCUGCACAACAAACUACAAUCAGACAAAAUAUCUACAAGCUAACAGUCACUAUAAAACCUCCUGACGGUGGAUUUCGUCACAGGAAGUCGAAUCGUUUUCUUUCUGAAGGCAAAACGAGGAACGGAUGACUGAGUCAGACCAGAGACUUUAAACUCCGACUGCUGUCAUCCUGCCGCUGAAAUCAGCUGAAUCAGAUCAUUUGACCUCGAAAACAAAAUGUCACAUUGCAGCGAGACUUUUAUCUUCAGGACAAAUUACAGUGGAGUGAAAGAAAGAUUUUUUUUCCAGAAAAUGAAAAAUGAUUUGUGAUCCAGCAGGAAGAACUUCAGCCUGAAGCAGAAGCUGAGUUAUGAAAGUCAGGAAGCUUCACGUUUCACGACCAACAUCUCAGCCACCGGUGAUCCAACAUGGCUGCCUGACUGACUGCCAGGCUGAGAGACAAGCUGACAGUUUUCCUCCUGGAAUCCUGAUGGAGACGAGUCAGCAGGUUUCCUGAGACUGGCAGCCGUUGUGGAUCUGGAUCGUGUUUCAGCUGAAGACAGACGGGCGGUUGGAGCCGUCCACACAGAGGGACGUCGAUAUGUAACCAGUGACUGGCAGCUGGAUUUGAUUCCGCCUCUUCAGGGGAACCUAAACCCGACCCACACUCACCGUGGUCCUGCUGAGCGUCUUUCACGCCGAGUCUUCAUCUUUUAACCUUUGACCCGUCCAUACGGAGACGCUUUCAGAUAAACAACAGCAAAAUAAACAGCCCGGUGCCCAACGCGGCUCCUGACAGGCAGAAGUGACAGCUGCUGGAAAAAUCCGGUUCUGAAGUUCAGACUGAAAGAAUAUCAAUCAUCCCCACCAGAAAACACUCGGGUGGCAGACAUGGAGAACCGGCGGUGCUCAGACGCUGAAGGGAACGUAGAUGAAGGAAUGAUAAAUAUUUUCAUCUCCACUCAGUUGAUUAAACAUCAACUGGUCAUUGUUCACAGAGUGUUCUCCAAGCGUGUUAAUGGGAAAUUGAGUGGAAGAAAAAAGUGGCUUUAUUCUUCAUAAAGAAUAUGGAGGAAGUACAUUUUGAGUUAAAAUGUUUUCACAAAGUUAGCAGGUUCCUACAUGGUAUUUAAAGACGAGGAAGGAAAAAGAUGAAUAAACCGAUUUGUGUCUGUUGGAGCGAAGCAGAACGUUGUGAGGCUCGUUCACUGAACCGCAGUGACUGGAUGUGAAACAGGAUGUUAGUUUGUGUUAUUAAUUGAAAAACAUCAACAUUUAUGAAAAUCAAUGUGCAGCUCUGAUCUUGGAUAUUUGAUUGAAACUUGGUGCCGAUGUAGUAAUGAUUUGUUCCCUGGCUCUGUAUUGUGCUGCAGAUGCUUCACUGCAGCAUCUCAGAGGCUGCAGCAACGAGCUUUACAUGAAAUGCUGCAGCUUUACAUGAAAUGCUGCAGUUCCUGUUGCAUUUCUAAUGCGGCAAGAGACUAAAAUAGUCUGGAAUAGUCUGCAUACACGACUUCAAUAUAAAGAAUCGCUUAGUGAGCCUAACCUGCUGUUAGGUCCACAAAGAGACAUAGACGGACGCACACAGCAGAACAUAACACGCAACACUAAUGCCCACCCUGACCUUUCACCCCAUCUAUAAGUCAUGUUGGCUCAGACUAAACAUUCAAGCACAAUCUGAAGGAGCGUCGAGUCCUGGAACCUGCCGGGUCAGCGUUCACAGUCCGUCCCGAAAACCUGCCAAACAAAUGAAAACACUGUAAACGCUAACGCUCCAGUUUCAGGCUCCAGUAAAUUUAAAGAGCUCUAGGCAAAGGAAGCAGUGCUGGCUGGAUCAAAUGGAGGUGUGUGGGCGUGUGUGUGGGCGUGUGUGUGUGUGUGUGUGUGUAGGGGUGUACAUAUGCAUGCUGGGUGGUGUA
Xiphophorus couchianus (Monterrey platyfish) is the source of this 6408-nucleotide long non-coding RNA. RefSeq lists it as uncharacterized. NCBI's taxonomy places the organism in Eukaryota, Metazoa, Chordata, Actinopteri, Cyprinodontiformes, Poeciliidae. The transcript has 6 exons. The record is from RefSeq and is a predicted model, not a curated record.